GAUGAACGCUGACAGAAUGCUUAACACAUGCAAGUCCACUUGAAUUUGGGUUUUUACCUUAGGUUUGGGUGGCGGACGGGUGAGUAACGCGUAAAGAACUUGCCUCACAGCUAGGGACAACAUUUGGAAACGAAUGCUAAUACCUAAUAUUAUGAUAAUAGGGCAUCCUAUAAUUAUGAAAGCUAUAAGCGCUGUGAGAGAGCUUUGCGUCCCAUUAGCUAGUUGGAGAGGUAACGGCUCACCAAGGCGAUGAUGGGUAGCCGGUCUGAGAGGGUGAUCGGCCACAAGGGGACUGAGACACGGCCCUUACUCAUACGGGAGGCAGCAGUGGGGAAUAUUGGACAAUGGACCGAGAGUCUGAUCCAGCAAUUCUGUGUGCACGAUGAAGUUUUUCGGAAUGUAAAGUGCUUUCAGUUGGGAAGAAACAAAUGACGGUACCAACAGAAGAAGAGACGGCUAAAUACGUG
RNAcentral lists this ribosomal RNA (467 nucleotides) under uncultured bacterium. RNAcentral describes it as "partial 16S ribosomal RNA". It matches the Rfam family "Bacterial small subunit ribosomal RNA", at positions 28 to 507 of the family's 1533-position model. The record is from RNAcentral.